UAGGGAGGGCCUGGCUCAGAGCCCCUCGGGUCCGGACGGACGGACGUAGGGAGGGCCUGGCUCAGAGCCCCUCGGGUCCGGACGGACGGACGUAGGGAGGGCCUGGCUCAGAGCCCCUCGGGUACGGACGGACGGACGUAGGGAGGGCCUGGCUCAGAGCCCCUCGGGUACGGACGGAUGGAUGGACAUAGGGAGGGCCAGGCUCAGAGCCCCUUGGGUCUAGAUGGUCAGUUGAAUGCAGAUAUGCGGAUGAUGCAGUAAUAUAUGCCAGCCACAAGGUCAGCAAUUAGGCAGACCCAGGAUCAGGACUAGAGUGGCAUGGGGCACAUCUGAUGAGGCACCAGAUCAGAGAAUGCAGCCCCCAGCACUGAUGAGCAAAGAGCAGGGACACUGGGGCAUUUGCUGGUUGCAGCUGGAGAGUCCUCUGUGCACGAAUGAAGCAGUGAGCACAAAAAACCCUGCACAGAAGAACAGAGCUAACCUUUCUUGAUUCAGCUGGAAGGCAAGCAGAAGUAGAAGCUCAUCAACAGAGUGUGAGGCACGUGAUAGGUAUCUUAUAAAUACAAAAAGGAUGCAAGGAAGACAGGAAGAGUGUCAGAACCCUGCCUCAGGAUUUCUCCUCAUCCUUAGCUCUUGGGAACCAGCCAGAGUCUGCCAGCCCUCGAACCUGAAUCCCUUGAUAACCCAUCUCCUCCAGCUGCUCUGCUACUCGAUCCACAUUCAGAAGCACCCCAGUUCCCCCAGCACUGCAAUGACAAGAUCAGUAAUUCAGUCACAG
Long non-coding RNA from Mauremys reevesii (Reeves's turtle), 778 nucleotides. RefSeq lists it as uncharacterized. The transcript is spliced from 5 exons. The record is from RefSeq and is a predicted model, not a curated record. NCBI's taxonomy places the organism in Eukaryota, Metazoa, Chordata, Testudines, Geoemydidae.